UGCAAGUCGAACGGUGACCCAGGGCUUGCCCUGGUGAUCAGUGGCGAACGGGUGAGUAACACGUGGGCAACCUGCCCCUGACUUCGGGAUAACUCCUCGAAAGAGGAGCUAAUACCGGAUACGACCGCUUCGGACAUCCGAUGGUGGUGGAAAGUUUUUCGGCAGGGAUGGGCCCGCGGCCUAUCAGCUAGUUGGUGGGGGUAAUGGGCCUACCAAGGCGACGACGGGUAGCCGGCCUGAGAGGGCGACCGGCCACACUGGGACUGAGACACGGCCCAGACUCCUACGGGAGGCAGCAGUGGGGAAUAUUGCGCAAUGGGCGAAAGCCUGACGCAGCGACGCCGCGUGAGGGAUGAAGGCCUUCGGGUUGUAAACCUCUUUCAGCAGGGACGAAGCGAAAGUGACGGUACCUGCAGAAGAAGCACCGGCUAACUACGUG
RNAcentral lists this ribosomal RNA (439 nucleotides) under uncultured bacterium. RNAcentral's name for it is "bacterial SSU rRNA". It matches the Rfam family "Bacterial small subunit ribosomal RNA", at positions 56 to 507 of the family's 1533-position model. The record is from RNAcentral.